RNAcentral lists this long non-coding RNA (4016 nucleotides) under Lynx pardinus (Iberian lynx). The record is from RNAcentral. Lineage: Eukaryota; Metazoa; Chordata; Mammalia; Carnivora; Felidae.
AGUCUCCCCCAAAUUAUAGCCAGUUUUAAAAAGAUACACGUGGGUCCUAAGGAGGUCAUUCUGACCGGAUUUCUACCACAGAGUUGGCUCAACCAGCAUAAACUGCUUAGACAGCAUCAAGAUCAACAUGUCCUUUUCUUCCAUUACGUGAUUUUAUGAUCCUUGCAACACAGGAAUAGCAGAAAAGAGAAUAGGGAAUUCUGUGAGUCUCUGUGAGGUUGCCCAAAACGGAGUAUUGACACAAUUUUCAGGAGGCUGAUGUGACACAUACAUAUUCGACAGUUACUGUGUUAAAUUAUCUAGUUACCUUAAUCAACUACAGCAAACCACUAAAUUAGGGAAUAUGUUUACACAAGUUCAUUUUGAAGCAAAGGUUCAAAAUAAGCAAGAUCCAGUCACACAAAAAGUGUUUCAUUACAUUCUUAGAAAUAGUCAAACUAUACGGUGCUUUUGUAGGACUACCUACUCUAGAUUAUAGUCUCUAGACUUGAUAUCCAAUAUUCAAGUAUACAGAAAGCAGGAAGCAGGAAUACUCUUUUUUUUUUUUUGUAAAGAAUAUUUGUAAAAUCACCUCAAAGGUGAAGUAACUACCUGUGGUUUAAAUAUAUUCCCAUGUGGGGCACCUGGGUGGCUCAGUCGGUUAAGUACCUGACUUUGGCUCAGGUCAUGAUCUUGCAGUUUGUGAGUUCAAGCCCCACAUCGGGCUCUGUGCUGACAGCUCAGAGCCUGGAUCCUGCUUUGGAUUCUGUCUGCCCCUCUCCCACUUGCGCUCUGUCUGUCUCUCUCUCAAAAAUACAUAAGCAUUAAAAAAAAAAGUUAAAUAAAUAAAUAAUAUAUUCCCAUUUAUGUUGUUCAGUUUUGAGAUGAGAUAGAAUCACAACUGGUAACACUAGAAGGAAAAUAAGGAACAGUGGUUGAAGAAAGGAAAGUAACAUUUAGUGAGCGCUUGGGAAAUAUGUUAUGUUUAAUAUGUUAUUAAAUACUCAGAACUCUCUAAGGUUGAAGAUGUGCUUUGUCACCAUUGUAUAAAUAAGAAUACUGAUGGAACAGAAAUUCAAAUGGAUUUCUUCCUGACUUCACAGCUUGUGCUCUAUUUUUUGCACAUUAUUGUGAAAAGAGAUAAAAAGCUUAAAUCAUCUAACAUAAAGUAAUCAGAGUUGAAACAUAUUAAUGACCAUUGACUCCGCCCUAAAUACUUGGCAAUUAUAUUCCAUUCUACACACUAGCCCAAAAUUUGAAUGUAAAUACAUGAAACUGAUUUGUAACGUUGGCGCUCAUAAAAUGGAUGUCAAUAAGAAUAAUUGUGUUUUUUUUUCUCUUUCUGAAAUAAGUAUCAUUAAGAAAACUGCUAAAGAGAGAAUGUGACAAGUUAUGGCACCAUUAAGAAGCAAGAGGUGGUGAAAGAGUGGUUGAAUUUAAAUUAUUCUUCAUGGUUUAUAUAAUUGUGCUGGUGUUUCAGUGUCUGUUCCUGAAAACGUUCCUCCACCUACUUUAACAUAUAUGAUUCUUGCAAGAGAUCCAGACCAAGAAGCUGAAGUGUCUUAUUAUCAUCUAUUUGUUUAUUUUUCAAACUUUAACUAACAAACAAAAAACGCUCAAAUUUUCAACAAGUAAAAAAUUAUUUAAUUAGGCUAUGAAUUAAAGUGUUCUUUAUAUCUUACCAUAGUCACUAGUGGAAGAAGGAAUUUAAAGCUUUGGAUACAGUAACACUGGCUAAAAAUGAUAUGACUUGAAAAUUAAAGCAAUAGACACAUUAGUCUGAAAGCACUUUGAAAAACUAGAGCUUACAUUUAUUUCCAUUUAUCUGAUGACACUUACAUAGCUGAGAGAAUGACUUUUCAUGUUUCCUUGCCUUUUAUUCAGCUCAGAUCGGGCAUAUUUUCUUUAUUAUACAUAUAAUUUGAAUAAAGAGUUAUAUCUUCAUAUUAUUUCUGGUUUUAUCAAUAAUUAAUAAAGUGAAUGAAUACAUAUUAAAUGACAAAAUAGUUACAGAUUAAGCGGUGGUAAAUAAGAAAAAAUACAAGAUAAUUUAUCACUCUAGAUUUUUUCAGAGGGUGUUAUGGUAUCCAUAUAAUCUCUAUUCUAAUUGGUAAGACAAAUUUUGGUUUCCUGAUUAAACAUUAUAUUAUAAAUCAUUAAUUCACUAGAAUAUUCUGCCCUAUAUGUUGUAAUUCUUCCUUUAAUUCUGACUAGAGCAGACUAAGGUUUUUUCCAUUUAUUCAUACUUACUCUAACAACUGGCUCAUAAACAUCCCUUAGAGAGGAGAAUACGGUUGAAACAAAAGUUUAAGGGGAAGCUUGCUGGAAUAGCUAAUCUGUAUAUAAUUUUUCUGGGGGCCUGAUUUGAAAAAGGAAUUGAUCAGCUCUCCCAGUUUCAGGUUUUUUGCUCAUGUGAAUCUUAGACUGAAGAAAAAUAUAAGUUCCAGUUUACCAAGUUCAGAAGCUCCAUGCAUGUGAGAGUGUGAAUGUGUGCAGGGAGAUAGCGUUAGGGAAUGUGUAUAUGUGUGUUUAGGAUGUAUGGGUAUACGUGUGGGUUUAGGCCAGGGUAUAUGCAUGCAAGUGGAGGAUUGGUGUCUAUGUAAAUAACUGUAAUUAUAUGCUUACAUGUAUAUUUUCCAUAACUAAAACAUAAUACCUGAAUUUUAUUGCAAAACUCAUUGGGAAAGAAAAAAAAAACCUGGAAAAUGAUAUUUUUUAACAAAUCCAAAACUAUAAUAAAAAGAGGAGAAACAAAGAAAAGGAGGUUUUUUUCAUGAGAACAUUUAAUGGAUUUUAGUCAAACAUAAUCCAACUUUGGUUGUUCACUUAUAGACAAGUAAAAAAUCAGUUAAUACGCCCAUCAAAAUAACUGUGAUGUCUUUUGGAAAUGGCAUUGGAUACCACAUAUCCUAGGUUUUAUUGUUUUCCUUUGGGCCAGAAACUGGAUGUAAAUGUUUAAAAAUAUAAUGUCUUUACUGAAUCCUUUUCAAAAUCUUUAAUAUUUGUCUUGAAACUGAGCCCAGUUAUAAGCAUGGGUGAUAACACUGGAGAGGAACAUGAUGAUGACCAUAAUUUUUUUUUAAAUAAAGCAGUAUUUGAUUGUGCCAUACAGAAAAUCAUUACAAAGAUGAUAUCAAAUGUGCCUCCUUUAGAUACAUUCUGAAUAUACAAGAAGGAAUUACUUUUUUAUAUAUUAGAAAAAUCUAUAAAUGCAACACUAGACAGUAAACUAAUUAUAAAAUCAAAAAUAGCUACUUACCAAAAAAAGCUUUAAUACUUAAGUAUAAAAAUCUUUGGAGGGCGCUUGGGUGGCUCAGUCAGUUGGGCCUCCAACUGCGGCUCAGGUCAUGAUCUUCUGGUUCAUGAGUUUGAGCCCCAUGUCGGGCUUGGGCUGACAGCUCAGAGCCUGGAGCCUGCCUAGGAUUCUGUGUCUCUCUCUCUCUUUCUGCCCCUCUCCUGCUCACGCUCUCUCUCUGUCUCUCUCUGUCUCUGUGUGUCUCAAAAAUAAAUAAACAUUAAAAAAAAUAAAAAAUAAAUCUUUGGAAAGGGGUGCCUGGGUGCUUGGUUGGGCAACCAACUCUUGAUUUCAGCUCAGGUCAUGAUCUCAUGGUUUGUAAGACUGAGUCUUGCAAUGGGCUCUGUGCUGACAGGUGUGGAACCUGCUUGGGAUUCUUUCUCCCUCUUUCUGCUUGUCUCUCUCUUGUGUUUGCAUACACUCUCUCACCCCACACCCCUUGAAAAUAAAUAAAUAAAACUUUAAAAAAUGCUUGUGAAAAACAAAUAAAAAUGUGAAAGUAUUUUCAGAUUGCUUUUGAAGUCUGCAACUGAAAGAAAGCUUAGCUUUCAUUUAAUGGGCACUGUAUUUACAGAAUUAAUUUUGAUUUAGUUAGGACUUGGCAAAUAAUGACAUCAAAACCAUCAGUUCAGAAUGCAUGCAUUUUCAAUAAUGUAUUAACCAUUUUUGUGUAUGUUUUUAAAAAAAUACUAAAUUCUUCAGUUAGUUCCACUGCCUACUUUGCUUUAGAUUUGCAUAAUGG